RNAcentral lists this ribosomal RNA (465 nucleotides) under Pseudohynobius flavomaculatus (yellow-spotted salamander). RNAcentral describes it as "partial 16S ribosomal RNA". It matches the Rfam family "Bacterial large subunit ribosomal RNA", at positions 1969 to 2594 of the family's 2925-position model. Lineage: Eukaryota; Metazoa; Chordata; Amphibia; Caudata; Hynobiidae. The record is from RNAcentral.
UUGUCUUUUAAAUAAAGACCAGUAUGAAUGGCAAGACGAAAGUUCAACUGUCUCCCUAAAUUAAUCAAUGAAAUUGAUCUUCCCGUGCAGAAGCGGGAAUAUAAAUAUAAGACGAGAAGACCCUAUGGAGCUUUAAAUAUAUGGUCAAUUGUAUAUUACAUAAACCAAAAGGUAAAAUAUUAAAUAAAACAUAGUGAUCAAAAUUUUAGGUUGGGGCGACCACGGAGAAAAACAAAACCUCCGAGAUGAAAAAAUAUCUUAACUUAUGAACUACAGUUCUAAAAAAUAAAAUAUUUAACAUAAUUGAUCCAAUAUAUUGAUCAACGAACCAAGUUACCCUAGGGAUAACAGCGCAAUCCUUUCCAAGAGUUCCUAUCGACGAAUGGGUUUACGACCUCGAUGUUGGAUCAGGACACCCCGAUGGUGUAGCCGCUAUUAAAGGUUCGUUUGUUCAACGAUUAAAGU